ACAGGCCACCUCCCCGGGGCCUGAGCCCAAGGGGAACUCCGAGGUGGAGCACCAAGGCUUCCUGCCAGGCUGGGGCCCAGGUCCUGUCUUCCAAGGUCUGUGUGUUUUGGGGAUCAUGAAAUAGUCCCUGCCUGCUUCUAUCCCCAGCACCUGUGGCUCCGCUCGGCCACCCCUGCUGCUUCCGGGCACUGCAGGCUCCGAGCUGCUCCCUCUCUGCCCUCCUCUCCCCGGCACUCCUGCUCUGGGCCACCACAGGAAAACAAGAUCGGCCACUGCCAGGCCCAGGGGUGAAGCGAGGAGUGCUGAGCCUCUCACCUGAACACCUGGACAUCAGCCAAGGCUCCAUGAAUGACAGCCAGCGCUGUCAUCAUCACCUGAUUCCCUGUCCCCACCUCUGGGAAACGUCCCCGGCUCCCGCAACAGAAACAAGGGUGCUCUUCUCCACCCCCUGGCUCCCCGGGGACUCUGUCCAACCCAGAGCCAGCAGCUGCACCCUCUCUGCAUUUCAUUUCCUGCUCCCGUGGAAUCAGGAUAAGCACGCUAAUGGCCUCACCCUGGGCUGUCAGAGGAUUAAGUGAGAUAAUGCUCGCCAUGGGCUUGACCAACGGCACCGCCCCAGCCAUGCCUCUGUGAGGCACAUCCCCUGUUACUGAUGUUCAAACCGUCUGGACUGUACCCUGCUAGACCAAGGAUGCCCUGGAAGAGGACGCGGCUUGCUGAUGUUAAGACAUGUCUGCCGACAGAAUGUGGAGCUGGACAGGGGCUACUGCAGCAGAAUACCAAGGAACCACCAAAGGAAGACAGCAAAGAGCCUCUGCUCGUCACACGCACUGGGGCUCGGGCUGGAAUAGCAGCUGCCAUCUUGACCCUUGGCAUUGCCCACAUCAGAGGGAAGCAGAACCCUGGGGUGGCCUUGUGCCUGCAAUUCGAUGCUCAGCCUGAAGGAAGUGAUUUCUGUUAGUUGUGUUCAACCCAUUGCCCAGAACUAGUCAAUGGCUUCACCAGCUAUGAAGACACUAGGCAGUGUGGGUCUACCAUGUGCACAGGAGGUGGGAACCCACAAAGGUUUGGUGAGCAGCUCUGCUGGGUACCACAGUGCACUUUGUGCCUAGCAGAGCAUAGCAGGGAAUAGGGGAUGAGAACAUUUUUGUUGAAGGUGGUUUCCUGCCCUACCAGUCUAACCAAGCAGCCCUUAACAAGGUUCCAAUGGCCUCUGUCUUGCUCUGUCUCCUGGGCGCUCCUAGCCCUCAUCUGCCUCAACCUUGCUGGUUAUUCCAUACCCUUUGUAAGAUCCUCUUGGCUUGAGGACACGAUGCUUCCCUGAUUCCCUUCCUCCCCCUGCGUCACUGCUUCCUUGGAUCCUAUGCAACUUUUUCUCCCCUUGCUGGACCUCAUUUUGGGUUUCUCAGACCCUGGGCCUAUAUCUUCAGCAGAACUCAUCCACCCCUUCCCUUGAACUUUCCCUUCAAUGGAGGUGACUUCCUUGUUUUUUUUUUUUUUUUUUUGAGCUUUGAGUUCAUGAGUUUCACAGACUACUUGGUAGCUUCUCAAUAAUAUCUCAACAUCACCUCAAAUAUAUUACACUGAAAACCAAAGCUGUGACCUUUCUCCUUCCACUCCGGUCUCUAAAGCCCUAUUUCUGGGCUCCUGUCUCUCACUGAAUGACAUUGCCCACCUACUCACACAGUCCAGAGACCCAAGAGUCCCUUUCCACGUUGUGUUCUCCCAUGGGCUUCCAUGUUUAAAUGCCAAGUCCCCGCGACUUAGCGUCCGUACCUCUCAAGUCCACACAGCCCACCAUCUCCAGCUCGGACACUGUCUCCAUUCCUCUCCCAUCUCCAUCACUGGUCCAUGCGGACACCUUGUCCCCCUUGAAUGCUGUAAGCUCCCUCGGGCCUCCUUGUCCAUUCCAGCUGCAGCCGCCGGCUCUCUAGGCGACAGCCGGGGGGAUCUAUUCCCAGUGCGAAUCUGACUCAUGCUCCUCCAUCACAAAACACUUCAGUGGCCUGGCAGAAUCUUCAGUCUCCAGUGCUGUGCUGGCUCCCUGCCGUGGUCACUGCUCAGGACCUGCGCGUGGCGUCCACAGAGCAGCUCUUCGGAGUAUUUUUAGGCUUCCCAGGGACUGACCACAGCAGAUGUGGGGAGAAGGGCCGCUCGCCAGAGCAGAUAGACAGACCCCUUUCAAGCCACCUUCCUGUCAUCCAGCGAGCUCCCUGAGCGAGGCAGGGGAGGUCCCCAUGGGGUUGGUUCUAUUUCUGGGGGUGAGGGUGAAUCAGUUGUGUCUGAGGACACCAUCAGGAACCACGACAGUCAUUUCUUUCUUUGUGGCUUUGAGGUCUGGGUGGGGAGGGGCUGGGAUCCUGAGACCCCUGGGGCCCACAGUGGAAAGACGAACUGAUUGCAAGUGAGUAUGGGGGAGACUCUGGGGGCCCCAAGGGUGGCUGGUGUUCUCUGGCUUUGUACCCCCCGCAGCCUCACCCACGCACACCUCCUAACUCAUGAGGAAGCUGCUCUCCUUGUCUCUGUGUCACAGAUGAGGAAGCCAAAGCUCAGAGAGUUUAAGGGUUGGACCCAGGUUCUCACAACUGUCCAGUGACGUAGCUACGACUCAUGGCUACACCCCCCAAUUCCCAAAGCCAGCAUCUCCACCCGCUUCCAUGUUUACCCUCUCCCUCGUCUCCGAGGAACCAUGAGGCCAGGGAGGACAGCAAGUGGGAGGUCCUGGCCAGGAAGCAUAGGGCAGUGCUGGGGCCCAGAGACCAGCAAAGGUGGAAGCUGCCCCCCACCCUGUCCUGAAGGGGCAGGGAGAGAGCAUUACUGGGGACCACAGUGACAGAAGAGCUCGGGUACAAGCAGGAAGCUCAUGGAAGAUGCAGACCUAGUCAGAUGCAUGGGCUCCUCUCCUGCUGGAUCCAGAGGAGACCAACAGACCAAGGAGCCUGGUGACUCGAUCUGGAGAGCCCAGACCUCCUGCCAAGAUGGAGAACGGGUGGGCGUAGAUAGAGACCCAGCAGCAGGGCCUCUUUCUCUCUUCCUCCUGCCCUGUUCAGCGCGGUCACCAGCUGGGGGCCCCUGCUAGUCUCCGUCAGCACCUCUCUGUGUGGCCGGGCCUGGGGGUUCUGAGGGGCUGACUGAAUGAGCAGCCCAGGAGCCAUGUUGAGUUCAAGAUCUCCUCAGCAGGGACACCACCCUGCGCACACUCUUGGCCAGCCUCCAGUCAGACAAAAUAAAACCUGCCAGGGUCUCCAGGAAGCUGAGACAGUGCCUGGCUGAGGAGGGCCUGG
Molecule: long non-coding RNA, 3284 nt
Organism: Chinchilla lanigera (long-tailed chinchilla)
Lineage: Eukaryota; Metazoa; Chordata; Mammalia; Rodentia; Chinchillidae
Exons: 3
Source: RefSeq, a predicted model, not a curated record